AGUAGCGCAUGUAGCAAAAGUUUGGUGAGCUUCAUUAGCUUGAUCCUCCUUGAUAUUGCAUAUUUUAAUGGCUAUUGAUCGUUCAUCUUCUUUUGUGUUAGCAGUACGAGAGGCAGAUGUAUAUUUUGUUGCCUCUAGACAAUUUAACCGUUGGGUUGACGCUCAAGAGCUCUGUCUCUCGUACAAAGUUGAUCGAUUAGCUAUCGGUACACACAGCUAGGCACAGCGGUGCUGCUCCCGAGCCUCCGCGCAUCGAGGCAAUCAGUAUUGGUGUGGUUUGUGUAUAGAAGGGAGACAGACAAGCCAGAUAUCAUGUUGCCUGUAAAGGUGUUUGUUUCAGCGACGUUAUUGCUUAGCUGCAGCUGCUUAGGUGCGAAACUUCAAGACCCCAGAAACCAGGUGCUGCAGACUACUGAAGUUUUUCAUUUUUAUAUUGAUAAAGGAAUGUUUGACGCGUCAAUAGAUAGCUACGGGCAUACAGAAUUCAGAGCUGCUUUGCUAGGAAAGCCGGACUUACCAAAGUGGAUGUUCCUACGGCAAACCGGCAACUCAAAUAGGGCACUUUUGUACGGUUCGUAUCAAGAUGAUGGGGAACUCAACAUUGAGGUCUUUGCUAUUAACAAGUACAACUACAAGACUUCUUUACGGGUAAUUAGUCUUCAGGUGGAAAAAAGGCCAAAGGAAGCACUUUACGAGGUCGAGAUGAAGUUCUUAAAUCUCAAUAUCGAAGACCUCUUCGAGGGUGACUGGUUAUCUGAUUUAGAAGACAUUUUUCGAGAUCAUUUAUGGAAAGAAAGUCCCGAAAUCUAUGUGACAAAAGUGGCUUCAGUGGUGGAUAUUGGUGGCAGGGUACCUGUCAAUCCUAAGGACAAGGAAGGGAUAGUCGUACGCAUUGGUGGGACAACUAACUUUUCCCAGGAGCUACGCACAUUAGAAGUUGAGGCCAAUCAGCUGCGAAACAGGGUCUCCUGCCCACGUGACUACAAACGAACCUCUGCUGAGUACCGUUUUCGAAGUAGGAGCUUUCUGCCUGACUGGUGUGGAUUUCGUUUAAUAACACUGCCUGAGCAACUAGAUGGCGAAGGAAUGAUGCAGCACCAAGACGCUGCCUUCUCACCCAUCCCACUAGAAGAGGACAGUUAUAAUCCACCCGAUAUGGGACACCUACCUAGAAGGGACUUGCUGUCGGACUUUCUGCUCUCUCUGCUGCUGCCCGGAUUUGUCACGGCUAUGCUGCUCAGUACACUCACCUGCUUCAUGUGCUGCCAGCACGAAGAGGAAAUCCCGAGUACGCAGGUAGAACAACACAGCUCCAUUGAACGUGCCACCAACGCCCUGCGCCAAAUGGCCUCCAAGCGCAACCUCUCCUCAGCAGCCUCCUCUCGGGUCCAUUCUCGUGCUGGUAGCCCUCUCGAUGCUUCGCUUCCACGACCGUCUCGGCAAGGAACACUCAAGCUUCGGGCACUCCCUCCACCACCAUAUUCUGCAGCUCAGAGUGAUGCCUGAUUCUGGAGACCAGUAGGGUAGGAACCCGAGGAAACCUGGUUCAGUGUUUUCCCAGCUAAUCUUCUUUAGCCAAAGCCGUUAACAAACUUAAGACAUUCAUCUUAGCUUUGACUGCACGUAGCUGUGUCUUUGGUACAAGUCGUUCACUGUCUGUUGACACCUGGUGAGCUUCCAUGGCAAGAAAGAAAUGUAUAGGCUGCAACAACAAAAAAAAUGUGCUACUCUCCAAGAGACAUUGACUUCUUUAUCAUUUCGCUCCCAAGAGAACUGUAAAUAUUCUCCUAAAUUAAGGAUUAUGGCUAUGUGCUUGCAGUAAAUUACAUAUUACUGUUUCUGUGGCUAAAAUUAACUUGCUUGUGCUUUAGGAAUGAAACAAGCUAGUUUUCCCCCGUGCAUUUGCUUUACUUAUUAGUUUCAUUGAAAUAAAUGUCUGCGAGAGUUAUUGAUUGCAUUUAGUAAACUAGAUCUAAACUUUGGGGCUGUAGCUUAUCGAAUUUUAUACGUUUCUAGGUAGUGGUUAGGUCCAACGAUCUCUGCAUGAUGCCAUUAUAGUGGCUAUUGCAUUACUACUUAGCUAUGGUGCAGAAAGUUAAGUUAGCUUGUACACACUCUACUAUUUUGUUUACAGGAAAAGGAUUCUUUAAAAAAAGGAUAUACCCACAAUAUGUUGGCAAUGGAAUGGAUUAUGAUAGACAGGAAGAGAGCUGAGUCUACUACAAAACAGAGAUAACUGCCAUUUAGGGGGAAAAAAGUGGUCCUGGACAGGUCAUAUAAUAUUAUAGCAAAAGGCAGAUAAACUGAUGGCCAGUUAGAACAAGGAGAUGGGGAAACAUGGCAGCGGGUUAGGCAAGGUGAUGAAAUUAAGAAAUGUGCAAGUUGGACAUUGAAUCAACUUGUCCAAGAUAGGGUAAAUUGGAGGUCAUUGAGAGAAAGAGGCCUUUGUUCCUGCAGUGGACAUAAAGUUGGUGGAUGUUGAUGAUGAAUGAACUGGCACUAUGUGUAGCCCAACUGUUCUGUUUGGCAGCAUGCAUACUAUGAAGUUUUUGCUGUUGAUUUGUGUUGCAGAAUUAUACA
Molecule: unclassified non-coding RNA, 2580 nt
Filed under: Rhipicephalus microplus (southern cattle tick)
Lineage: Eukaryota; Metazoa; Arthropoda; Arachnida; Ixodida; Ixodidae
Description: epsilon-sarcoglycan-like, transcript variant X2
Source: RNAcentral